Molecule: long non-coding RNA, 1611 nt
Organism: Diospyros lotus (date-plum)
Lineage: Eukaryota; Viridiplantae; Streptophyta; Magnoliopsida; Ericales; Ebenaceae
Exons: 3
Source: RefSeq, a predicted model, not a curated record
UUCUUGGCAACGCCGUUACAGCUCGUUGAUCCGAAAAUCUCUUCCGAGGCUCGAAUCGAACAACUCUCCUUUCCAACGCAGGCCUGCAAAUUAAUUUUCAUACCCACAAAACAAAAGAUCAGAAUCCUUGAUCAAGGAUGGAGAUGGCAUCGUUUACUCCUUCGCAGCUGCCUUUGGCAAGCGCCCCGCAAGCGCCAUUGGAGUCGCCGAAGCUCGCGAAACGGAUGGCCGAAAUGGGCCGGCCCUCGCACGAGAGCUCCAGGGUUUUGUUCUCAUAGGCUUUUCCACACACAGUUUCCGGGCUAAUUGUUUGGAACUUCACCAGCGAUGGGUUACCUCCAAAUUCUUCGAACAGCACCAACGUGUUCUCAUCAUCGUUCAGAAAAGACCGCGGAACAUGGACCAGGUAAUCCGGAGGCCACGACAUCGAAUAAAGGCCCGUAAUUCUGCUCCAAGAAAAGAGAGAGAAAUCAAUCAUUCUGAUCAAUUUGCUGAAGAUCAAUCUAGUUUUGCUUUCAAAUCAUAUACCGGAAAUCCAACGGUGGCGCUGAGCAAUGUGAUCUGGUUUUUGCCGGGUUUCAGUUUCACUUUCUCCUCAAAGACGGAGUUGAAAACUCCAUAUGUAUCCCAUCGAGAUCCUGUGCAAGAACAGCAUGAAAAAUUGAUCAAAAUGGAGGGAUUCACUGACAUUUAUGCAUCCAAAAUAAUUACUUACCAACGAGUUCACUAUUGACAAAAGCAUGAAGUACGUGGCCAGUGCCAUUCACUCUAACACUCAAAUUAUGACUCCAUAUUGGAUCAUCUUCCUUGAUGCUAACACUGAAUGAUGAGAUCCGAUUAAAAUGAGUUUAGCAUGCCGGAAAAAUCCAAAUAAAUAAAUAAGCAAAACGGAAAUUGAUUUCAGCCCCUCUUCGCGGACUCAAAUCUGCUGAAUGGGCCAGCACCAAAAUCACAGCAAAAACCAUGUGAAAUUAAUUACCUUGUCAUGUACCAUAGAUAAUCGCUGACAUCAUUAAUGGAUUUCUGAUCCACAAGUUGAUUCAAGGACAGAUGGCCCUUUCCAAGAAGAAUUGUAUCGUCUGUGUUCUCUGGCCGCCACUUCCAGCUGAGACGUUCUGGUUCGCUCUCGGCGGGGCUCGUCUUCUUCACUCUCACAGAAGUUUGGGCGUUUACCUAUGUAUAAAAACGUGCAUUCUAUUAACAAGCGUCGUGGUUUCCAAAAAUCGAGUCAAUAAGAUGAGUCUUUUUUUGGUUUUACCUUUGCCGUGUUGUAUUCUUCAUGGAUGCAAUCCGGAAGAAUGCUCACAGACCAAGCCGGAACGGUGAAUUCCUUUCCCAGGACGGCGACAAUGGCGUCAUCCGUAGUAUUCGCGUUGCCGAAGAAGCAGGCUGAUGUUUCGUCGGUCGAGUAAGUUGUCGCCUGCAAGAGCCCAAAACCGUCGGUAACUCAAAAGUAAUAUAAAUGUCACCGAAAAUAUAUAUAUAUUUAUAUUGUCAAAUGGACCGAUUUGGCCCGUACAAUUUGGGCCCUUGGGUCUAAUCAUGCUAUACGGGGUCUCAAGGCCCAAAACUCGCAUGGCCGAAACUGAGAGUGGGAGUAGACAAUAUAUA